Molecule: ribosomal RNA, 280 nt
Filed under: uncultured bacterium
Lineage: Bacteria
Description: partial 16S ribosomal RNA
Rfam family: Bacterial small subunit ribosomal RNA
Source: RNAcentral
GACGGAGGGGGGCUAGCGUUGUUCGGAAUUACUGGGCGUAAAGCGCGCGUAGGCGGCGCAUUAAGUCAGAGGUGAAAGCCCCGGGGGCUCAACCCCCGGAAUUGCCUUUGAGACUGGUGUGCUUGAGUACGGAAGAGGUGAGUGGAAUUCCCAGUGUAGAGGUGAAAUUCGUAGAUAUUGGGAAGAACACCAGUGGCGAAGGCGGCUCACUGGUCCGUAACUGACGCUGAGGUGCGAAAGCGUGGGGGAGCAAAACAGGAUUAGAUACCCCCCGUAGUCC